Molecule: ribosomal RNA, 449 nt
Filed under: uncultured bacterium
Lineage: Bacteria
Description: partial 16S ribosomal RNA
Rfam family: Bacterial small subunit ribosomal RNA
Source: RNAcentral
AACGAACGCUGGCGGCAUGCCUAAUACAUGCAAGUCGAACGAGAUCUUCGGAUCUAGUGGCGCACGGGUGCGUAACGCGUGGGAAUCUGCCCUUGGGUUCGGAAUAACUUCGGGAAACUGAAGCUAAUACCGGAUGAUGACGUAAGUCCAAAGAUUUAUCGCCCAAGGAUGAGCCCGCGUAGGAUUAGCUAGUUGGUAAGGUAAAGGCUUACCAAGGCGACGAUCCUUAGCUGGUCUGAGAGGAUGAUCAGCCACACUGGGACUGAGACACGGCCCAGACUCCUACGGGAGGCAGCAGUAGGGAAUAUUGGACAAUGGGGGCAACCCUGAUCCAGCAAUGCCGCGUGAGUGAUGAAGGCCGUAGGGUUGUAAAGCUCUUUUACCCGGGAUGAUAAUGACAGUACCGGGAGAAUAAGCCCCGGCUAACUCCGUGCCAGCAGCCGCCGCGG